UACGUAGGGUGCGAGCGUUGCCCGGAUUUAUUGGGCGUAAAGGGCGCGUAGGCGGCCACGCACGUCCGUUGUGAAAUCGCCCGGCUCAACUGGGCGGGGUCAGCGGAUACGGUGUGGCUCGAGCAAGCUAGGGGGCAAUGGAAUUCCCGGUGUAGUGGUGGAAUACGUAGAUAUCGGGAGGAACACCAGUGGCGAAGGCGGUUGCCUGGAGCUUUGCUGACGCUGAUGCGCGAAAGCGUGGGGAGCGAUCCGG
RNAcentral lists this ribosomal RNA (253 nucleotides) under uncultured bacterium. Its description in RNAcentral is "partial 16S ribosomal RNA". It matches the Rfam family "Bacterial small subunit ribosomal RNA", at positions 524 to 776 of the family's 1533-position model. The record is from RNAcentral.